This 2070-nucleotide long non-coding RNA is filed under the name Canis lupus familiaris (dog). RNAcentral's name for it is "lncRNA (ENSCAFG00040015015.1)". The record is from RNAcentral. Lineage: Eukaryota; Metazoa; Chordata; Mammalia; Carnivora; Canidae.
AAGAACAGAGGCCUCCAGCCAACUGUAGUGUGAGUGAGCUUGGAGGUGGGUCCUCCAGCCCCAGUCAAGCUCUCAGAUCACUGCAUCCCCAGCUGACUUCUUGAUUGCAACCUCACAAAGCCCUCAAGCUGGAACCACCCAGCUAAGCUGCUCCUGAAAACCUGACCUACAGGAACUGUGAGAUACAAAUGUUUAUCGCUUGGCACCACAAAACGUAGGGUAAUUGGGUGUGGAGCAAGGGAUAACUAAUACAUGUGUUCAUUUCUAUGAAUAUGAAUCGACGCAUACUGAAACAUGCUUGAAAUAUGCUUUUAUACUUUUUGAUUUUGCAAAGGAUGCAAUGGGAUAGAGGGGAAGGAGAAGGAAAAAGAGUGAAACCAGAAACAGUUGUAAAUAACAACCCACUCAAUGCCACAGAUGAGUUAAUGUUGCCAGAUCUUGUGAUACUGUGCGCUUAAAAUUAUACCUUGGGAUUGCAAUCACAAUGUAAGUCUUUCUGAUGUAUCUCUCUGUUACUUUUUCUCUAUCUGAACCCACAAUUUACUGGAGUCUCCCUUGUUCAUUUAUUGAGUGAGUAAUACAUGUAAGGCACCAUGCUAAAUGCUGUGUUCAGCCCUUCUGGAAUAAACUAGAAGACCUCCAAGGAGGAGGAAGAGGAAAAUAUUUUAGCUGUGGUUCACCCAUCCAGACUACUUGAUGGAAUGCGCUUUGAAUUAUUGUGUUCAUUUUCCUUACCUUCCAGAAUGCCCUAAUAAAAACCCAGCUGCUCCGCUUGCUCUUCCCAGCCAAGGCAGCUCUCCCAUCUGCAUGUGAUGGGCCACUCUCACCUGUCAGUUCUCAUAGUGAAAGCCCUGCUGGUCCUCCAAGGCCUCAUUAAAUGAGGGGACCUAUAACAUUAAAACAUUAAAAAAUAUUGACAAGCUAUGCUGUCAUCUGAACAAUGUUUCGCUCACAGUCCCAGGUCAAACUAUCUAGCAAUGCUAACAACAAUGGCAGAUUAUGUUUUUUGUGUAGAUAUUACUUAUGAAAACAAGAAGAAUAUAGCUUUCUCAUGAGGUAAUAUGUAUGAUUUUUUUUUCUCCUAGAGAAAAAUCAUGAAAGAACUAUUUUUAAAUCCAUGUUGGCUCAAAGGAGAAUGAAUUAGAUACUCAUUUUCUUUUUUAGAAACCCAGCUAGAUUAAAAGUAACUUCUUUCUGUUUUAAGAUUGGGAACAUAAUUUUGAUAUUCUAUUGUGAAAUUUACUGCUUUUAGGAUUCAGGGGGUUUCAGGAAGGUAUCACAAUGGUUGUUGUCUCCUCCCCAGCUGAGUCAAAAAGACUUUUGGUCAAAAAAACAAAAACAAACAAAUGAAAGACCCAAAACUCUGAAACAGAAACCUUGUUUAUCCAGUUUGAAAGUUGGUCAAAGUGCUUUCACGGGACAGCUGUGAAGCACUGUCCUUGAGCUGUGCAAAUGUCUAUACCUGGGGGGCGGGGGUGCUGCUUCUACACCACUACUGAAGCAGUAAAAAGCCUAGUGGCCUCAUAGACUUUUCCAGGGAGUGUUUAGUGUCUGGGUCCACUGAGGCUUCCCAUCACACUAUUAGGCAAAUAUACUAUAUCUAAAGAAAGGACAGAAACUAAGUAUGGUAAAUUUACGAUUGUUUCAUUCUUUUCCAGCACUUUUACUUGAGUAUAAAGAAACUAACCAAUGAACAAUGGGAAAUGGUUGGCAAAUUUUCACAAUUUUUAUAAAGUAGAACCAAAAAGAAACAAUGUUCUUUGUCAAGGAAAAAGAUCCCUAUCAAAGUGCAUCUAGAGAGGUGUGGAAGAAAGAACAUGUGAUUUGGUGGUAGACAUUCCAAGGUUCAUUAAAACACAUGGGCAGUGGCCUUAUUUGAGUAUUAGGUAUAAUAAGGCAAAAUUAAAUAGAAUAGGAUAUAUAAAACUAGUGUAGUGUCUGCCUUGCAACAGAUGUUUUAAAAACGUUAAUUUUUGAAAGACUACCUGCAAGAAAUACCUACUGUCAUUCCCAUUGCCACUGGGAGAGGAGGCAGGGGAAAAUCUGGGCUGUCUUAGAUUUUGGCUUUAA